Molecule: ribosomal RNA, 175 nt
Filed under: Xanthichthys mento (redtail triggerfish)
Lineage: Eukaryota; Metazoa; Chordata; Actinopteri; Tetraodontiformes; Balistidae
Description: partial small subunit ribosomal RNA
Source: RNAcentral
CACCCCCCGCGGUUAUACGAGAGGCCCAAGCUGACAGACACCGGCGUAAAGAGUGGUUAGGAGAAACACAAUAAAUUAGGGCCGAACGCUUUCAAGGCUGUUAUACGCACCCGAAAGUAAGAAGUACAACAACGAAAGUGGCCCUAUAAACCCUGAACCCACGAAAGCUAAGGCA